UGGGGAAUAUUGGACAAUGGGCGAAAGCCUGAUCCAGCCAUGCCGCGUGUGUGAAGAAGGUUUUCGGAUUGUAAAGCACUUUAAGUUGGGAGGAAGGGCAGUAAGCGAAUACCUUGCUGUUUUGACGUUACCGACAGAAUAAGCACCGGCUAACUCUGUGCAAUCAGCCGCGGUAAUACAGAGUGUGCAAGCGUUAAUCGGAAUUACUGGGCGUAAAGCGCGCGUAGGUGGUUCGUUAAGUUGAAUGUGAAAGCCCCGGGCUCAACCUGGGAACUGCAUCCAAAACUAUGUAGCUAGAGUAGGGCAGAGGGUGGUGGAAUUUCCUGUGUAGCUGUGAAAUGCGUAGAUAUAGGAAGGAACACCAGUGGCGAAGGCGACCACCUGGGCUCAUACUGACACUGAGGUGCGAAAGCGUGGGGGGCAAACAGG
This 429-nucleotide ribosomal RNA is filed under the name Pseudomonadota bacterium. RNAcentral's name for it is "Proteobacteria bacterium partial 16S ribosomal RNA". It matches the Rfam family "Bacterial small subunit ribosomal RNA", at positions 355 to 776 of the family's 1533-position model. Lineage: Bacteria; Pseudomonadati; Pseudomonadota. The record is from RNAcentral.